GAACGCACCUUGCGCUCCCUGGUAUUCCGGGGAGCACGCCUGUUCGAGUGUCGUGAAACUCUCAAACCGGAUGGCUUUAUUGCUUCAUCUUGGUUUGGAUUUGGGCUUUUGCUGUGUCAUAACGGCUAGCCUUAAAAGCAUUAGCUGAAUCUUGGUUAUGAGAUUGGUUCUACUUGGCGUGAUAAUUUAUCUGACCGCUGAGGACAUCUUUCGGGAUGGCCAGACUUCUUCCUCGAGUCGCUUCUAAUCUGGCAUUUACGGGAAACCGUACUUCCACUUUUCAACUUUGACCUCAAAUCGAGUAGGACUACCCGCUGAACUUAAG
Molecule: unclassified non-coding RNA, 325 nt
Filed under: uncultured fungus
Lineage: Eukaryota; Fungi
Description: sequence contains 5.8S rRNA gene
Rfam family: 5.8S ribosomal RNA (bases 1-53)
Source: RNAcentral